Molecule: ribosomal RNA, 1527 nt
Filed under: metagenome
Description: bacterial SSU rRNA
Rfam family: Bacterial small subunit ribosomal RNA
Source: RNAcentral
AGAGUUUUAUUCUGGCUCAGAACGAACGCUGGCAGCGUGGAUUAGGCAUGCAAGUCGAACGAGAAUCUGCCUUGUAGCAAUAUGGGGUGGAGGACAGUGGCGGAAGGGUGAGUAACGCGUGGGUAACCUGCCUCCAAGAUGGGGACAACCUCUCGAAAGGGAGACUAAUACCGAAUGUGGUCCUCCUGUCACAUGGCAGGAUGACUGAAGGUGGGUUCUUCGGAACCUGCCGCUUGGAGAGGGGCCCGCGUCCCAUCAGCUUGUUGGCGAGGUAACGGCUCACCAAGGCUUACGGGUAGCUGGUCUGAGAGGAUGGUCAGCCACACUGGGACUGAGACACUGCCCAGACUCCUACGGGAGGCUGCAGUCGAGGAUCUUUUGCAAUGGGCGCAAGCCUGACAAAGCGACGCUGCGUGGAGGAUGAAGGCCUUCGGGUCGUAAACUCCUGUCAUUCGGGAAAAACGAUCUCGCCGUGAAUAGCGGCGGGAAGUGAUGGUACCGGAAGAGGAAGUGGCUGCUAACUCUGUGCCAGCAGCAGCGGUAAUACAGAGGCCACAAGCGUUGUUCGGAUUUACUGGGCGUAAAGGGUGCGUAGGCGGUUCCGUGUGUCGGAUGUGAAAUCCCACUGCUCAACGGUGGAACGGCAUUCGAGACUACGGGACUAGAGUGCAGGAGGGGAGAGCGGAACUCUUGGUGUAGCGGUGAAAUGCGUUGAUAUCAAGAAGAACGCCGGUGGCGAAGGCGGCUCUCUGGAAUGCAACUGACGCUGAGGCACGAAAGCUGGGGGAGCAAACAGGAUUAGAUACCCUGGUAGUCCCAGCCCUAAACGGUGUGCACUUGGUGUGAGGAGAAUUGACCCUCUUCGUGCCGGAGCUAACGCGAUAAGUGCACCGCCUGGGGAGUACGGCCGCAAGGUUAAAACUCAAAGAAAUUGACGGGGGCCCGCACAAGCGGAGGAGCAUGUGGCUUAAUUCGAUGCAACGCGAAGAACCUUACCAGGGUUUGACAUGCAGCUGCAAAUCCGCCGAAAGGUGGACGCCUUCGAGGGUGCUGCACAGGUGCUGCAUGGCUGUCGUCAGUUCGUGCCGUGAGGUGUUGGGUUAAGUCCCGCAACGAACGCAACCCCUAUGGUUAGUUGCCACCGCGGGUGAUGAGCCCGCGAGCACUCUAGCCAGACUGCCCGUGUAAGCGGGAGGAAGGUGGGGAUGACGUCAAGUCAGUAUGGCCCUUACAUCCUGGGCCGCACACGUGCUACAAUGGUGGGUACAAUGGGAUGCAAUGCCGCGAGGUGGAGCAAAUCCCCAGAACCCGCCCCAGUUCGGAUUGAAGUCUGCAACUCGACUUCAUGAAGUUGGAUUCGCUAGUAACGGCGCAUCAGCUACGACGCCGUGAAUACGUUCCCGGGCCUUGUACACACCGCCCGUCACAUCAUGAAAGCCGUCUGCACCCGUAGUCGCUGAGCCAACCCGCAAGGGGGGCAGGCGCCGAAGGUGUGGGUGGUGAUUGGGAUGAAGUCGUAACAAGGUA